This 200-nucleotide unclassified non-coding RNA is filed under the name Inocybe sp. RNAcentral describes it as "partial internal transcribed spacer 2". The record is from RNAcentral. Lineage: Eukaryota; Fungi; Basidiomycota; Agaricomycetes; Agaricales; Inocybaceae.
UUAAGUUCAGCGGGUAGUCCUACCUGAUUUGAGGUCUCCAAAAUAAUAUAAAGGUUUUGGUUAUAAGCAGUGCAAUCUGUUCAUGCAGUAUUACCAAGGCAUAGAUAAAUUAUCACACCUGUAGUAGUUCUCUGCUCAGAUACCACUAAUGCAUUUCAGGGGAGCAGACUUCAUUUUUUGAAGACGAGGCCUGCAAAUUU